RNAcentral lists this ribosomal RNA (253 nucleotides) under uncultured bacterium. RNAcentral's name for it is "partial 16S ribosomal RNA". It matches the Rfam family "Bacterial small subunit ribosomal RNA", at positions 524 to 776 of the family's 1533-position model. The record is from RNAcentral.
UACAGAGGUCUCAAGCGUUGUUCGGAUUCAUUGGGCGUAAAGGGUGCGUAGGCGGCGCGGUAAGUCGGAUGUGAAAUCUCGGAGCUUAACUUCGAAACUGCAUUCGAUACUGCCGUGCUUGAGGACUGGAGAGGAGACUGGAAUUUACGGUGUAGCGGUGAAAUGCGUAGAUAUCAUAAGGAAGACCAGUGGCGAAGGCGGGUCUCUGGACAGUUCCUGACGCUGAGGCACGAAGGUCAGGGGAGCAAACGGG